GAUGAACGCUAGCUACAGGCUUAACACAUGCAAGUCGGAGGGGCAGCAUGGCGAUAGCUUGCUAUUGUCGAUGGCGACCGGCGCACGGGUGAGUAACGCGUAUCCAACCUUCCCGUCACUCGAGGGAUACGCCCGACCGAAAGGCGAAUUAAUACCUGAUGAUCUCCUUUGCGGACAUCUAAUGAGGAGUUAAAGGUUUUUCCGGUGACGGAUGGGGAUGCGUCUGAUUAGGUUGUUGGCGGGGUAACGGCCCACCAAGCCUUCGAUCAGUAGGGGUUCUGAGAGGAAGGUCCCCCACAUUGGAACUGAGACACGGUCCAAACUCC
This 326-nucleotide ribosomal RNA is filed under the name uncultured Prevotella sp. RNAcentral's name for it is "bacterial SSU rRNA". It matches the Rfam family "Bacterial small subunit ribosomal RNA", at positions 28 to 339 of the family's 1533-position model. The record is from RNAcentral. Lineage: Bacteria; Pseudomonadati; Bacteroidota; Bacteroidia; Bacteroidales; Prevotellaceae.